CAGGACGAACGCUGGCGGCGUGCCUAAUACAUGCAAGUCGAACGGUCUUUCUAUGGAAGCUUGCUUCCACUGAGAAGAUAGUGGCGAACGGGUGAGUAACACGUGGGUAACCUGCCCAUAAGAGGGGGAGUAACAUCCGGAAACGGGUGCUAAUACCGCAUAGUUUCUUGAUCGCAUGAUCGGGAAAGGAAAGACGGCCUUUGUGCUGUCGCUUAUGGAUGGACCCGCGGCGUAUUAGUUAGUUGGUGAGGUAACGGCUCACCAAGACGAUGAUACGUAGCCGACCUGAGAGGGUGAUCGGCCACAUUGGGACUGAGACACGGCCCAAACUCCUACGGGAGGCAGCAGUAGGGAAUCUUCCGCAAUGGACGAAAGUCUGACGGAGCAACGCCGCGUGAGUGAAGAAAAGGUUUUCGGAUCGUAAAACUCUGUUGUCAGAGAAGAACAAGUUGGAGAGUAACUGCUCCAGCCUUGACGGUAUCUGACCAGAAAGCCACGGCUAACUACGUGCCAGCCGCAGC
This 521-nucleotide ribosomal RNA is filed under the name uncultured bacterium. RNAcentral's name for it is "bacterial SSU rRNA". It matches the Rfam family "Bacterial small subunit ribosomal RNA", at positions 25 to 518 of the family's 1533-position model. The record is from RNAcentral.